RNAcentral lists this unclassified non-coding RNA (252 nucleotides) under Hevea brasiliensis (rubber tree). Lineage: Eukaryota; Viridiplantae; Streptophyta; Magnoliopsida; Malpighiales; Euphorbiaceae. The record is from RNAcentral.
AUAUUCUCGUCGGGUUGUGCGGCCUCCACUGCCGCCGGUGUUCCCCUAUCUGUUUCCGAUGGCCGCAGCUGUCGUCGAUGGUCACUCCCUUUUAUCUUCUCUACUGAGUACUUCUGUGAUCGUGUUCUCCUGAAAUUCUUAUUCUCUCUAUCAGCCUUAUAAGUUUCUGUCACCGCAGGGUCACGAUCUGGAUUCUUCUCCACUGGAGCACAAUCAGCAUUCUCGGAACGCCCCGUCCGUUUGUUGUGAAAG